UACGUAGGGUGCGAGCGUUGUCCGGAAUUAUUGGGCGUAAAGAGCUCGUAGGCGGUCUGUCGCGUCGGUCGUGAAAACUUGGGGCUUAACCCUGAGCUUGCGGUCGAUACGGGCAUGACUGGAGUUCGGUAGGGGAGACUGGAAUUCCUGGUGUAGCGGUGAAAUGCGCAGAUAUCAGGAGGAACACCGGUGGCGAAGGCGGGUCUCUGGACAGUUCCUGACGCUGAGGCACGAAGGUCAGGGGAGCAAACGGG
RNAcentral lists this ribosomal RNA (254 nucleotides) under uncultured bacterium. RNAcentral's name for it is "partial 16S ribosomal RNA". It matches the Rfam family "Bacterial small subunit ribosomal RNA", at positions 524 to 776 of the family's 1533-position model. The record is from RNAcentral.